AAUGCAGAAAACCACCCCAAACUCCAGCUAGUGAUUUAAUCUCAUCUGAAAUUCUACAGGUGUAAGCUUCAUGAGCUAUAUAGGGCAGAUUUUUCAGCCAGUCUGUGAGAGUGUCUGUUUUUUUAGUAAGAAAUUUCAAGCAUCAUUUUUGAUAACUACAUCUGGUGAAUGGUCACUUCGUAAAACUGAAGGUCUUCCACUCAAAAGAAAGAAAUCAAAAAGAAGGAGAAAGAUAAAUUUGGAGAACUCAAAUAGAAUGGAUCAGAUGCCAAGGGUGGAACUACAGGUAAAAACGGGCUCUGUUUGAUGUGUACCUGCCACGCCUAGUCUGUGUUAGGCAUUGCGAGCUUUGUUUGUGUUACUGUUCAUUUGCACUGUGUUGAUGUGUUCGGUGUGUGAGGUAGGAAACCAGAGCUCCAGGAGAUUCGUAAUGUGCCCUCUCACCCUGGUUCUUAUGGGACAGAACCAGCAGAGUAUGAACUCUGGUCUUUCUGCCUUUAGAGCCACCUGUUUGUAUGUGACCAGAAGUCUGUUCUGAUCAGUCCUUUAAAGAACUUUCCGUACUUUGGGACUAUAUAGUUUUUCCCUUUUUUGCUUCUGUUUCAUUUUCUUCAUUGUUCCAUACACAGUAGACACCAUAACCAUUAUCACAAUUUCACAUUUAGAAACCACAGCUUGUAGAAUGUAUAAAAAAUUGACUUUUAUAAUAAGGUGUGCUGUUGAAGUUCUUCCCAUGAAGAGUAGCCCAUGUCCUGUUAUAAAUGCCCUUUACCCAGGAUGCUUGCCUUAGGUUUGUGUGAAAUUUGUUACAGUAUGCUUAUUUGUUAGAACAAGGCAUGAAAUUGCCACCUGACAACUAUUGUGAUAAAUGUACAAUUUGGCUGAGAUGCACAGUUUCCAGUAGGCAAGUGAAAAGAAAAUGUAUAAAAGUAGUUUUUAUUUCUUUCAUCAGUUUCAUUCUAGAACUAUUCUGUCACAGGUUUUUUUCAGUGGACUAUAUAUGGCUAAUAAGACUGUAGAAGAGGGUGAGUGGUGAUUGGACAGACCUAUACUGUAUUCUCUUGCAUAUGUAAAUAGCUUUCAGUGUCCAUUUUAGUGCUGUGAUGGGCCUCCCUCUCUCUUGUACUUUGGUGAGAACAAUUGUCUUUGCCAACAAGGUUAGAGAAUAGAAGUAUAGAGGCAAGGUGCAUAUACAGGAAACAAAACUGGAGAGAGUUUUAUCCCAUCUCAUUGUGUGACUUAAAAUAGAAGAACCAUUGGAGAUACAUAAGUAAUCAGGAUAGGUGAAUAUAGCCAGAUGGAAAGGAGUCUUGAGAUUUGGUCAUUUUUAUAUGUAUUAAGAGACAGGAAUUGCGUGUUCAAAACCCCUAAGGAUAACCCACGGUAGAACCCUUGGUAGACCAGUCUUCCUAUAAUGACUUUACUGUUCACCCUCCCAGAUGACUGUGGGUGACAGGCACCUGUCAGCAGCCAUCUCAGCCCAUUCUUCUCAUGUUGUUGAUCUAUCCCUUAUUCUGAAGUUUCUAAGCAUUUGUUAUAAAGUCUCUACUGUACCCUCGUGCUAUGUUUGCACAUUGCUUUGGGAUUCUUUUUUUCUUCCCAUCUUCUUCCUUUGGUACUAAGUAGUGUGUUGCUGUGGAAGAUAUCCAAUGAACACUCAUGCAUGAAUGUCCUUAGACUGUCUAGGCCUGUGUCAAGGUACCAGGAAAACCCUGUGGUAUCUGGGGCAGAGCUGAAAUCUCAUUGUUACCCACAGAAGGAAGGUACUGGGUCACAUAUCUGUUUUCUUUUCUCAACUGGAGGUUCUUGGUAAAAGCAAGUAUUCUAGAAGGUUCCCUCCUGUGAUUCUGACCUGGUAUAUGAUUUUUGGAUAUGCCAGAAUAGGAGAUGUGAAAACUCAGUACCACAGACUGGCAUUUAAUUUAAGCACUUACUAUCCAGACUAGGAAUUUAGUUCAGCCAAUGAGGUGAAAAGGGUGCAAACUAAAUCUAUUUCUCGUCUGAGUGUGUCAGACCAGAGGUGUGUCUAGAGGUGUCACUUUCUUUAUCUUACCUUACAUCUAUAGCCACCACAGGUAAUUACUUCUACUGGGUUUUUCUUUUCCCAGCUAGAAUCAUCUUACACUCUGGGUUUAUUUGAACAUGGUGCUAGUAAUACCUUCUUGCAUUCAAUCUUUUCAUUUUCCAUAGUAAUAAAAAGGAGAAUAAACAUGCUUUUGUUUGCUUU
Castor canadensis (American beaver) is the source of this 2227-nucleotide long non-coding RNA. The record is from Ensembl. Lineage: Eukaryota; Metazoa; Chordata; Mammalia; Rodentia; Castoridae.